UGACCCCCUACAUGAGAUUUGGGUAGUGGAGGCAAAAAAAACUAACUCCGCUGACCCCCUACUAGACCCUUGAGAUUUGUUGGCCUCCUACUUUCACCAUCCACUACCCAUUCGUAUUGGCCCCUACUGGACUACCAAAAAAUUUCUUCGUAGUUUUCUUCCCUGUCUAGAUGUCUUCUGCCGCCCCGCACAGCAGCCCUACCUGGCUGACUCCCCGUCUGCUCCACUCUAGUGCGCCUCAACACAACAUCGCGGCCAGCCCCCUCGCAGGUGGGCCUCCCUGGAGCGGCAACUCAGGCAGGCGUGGCAGGCUCCUAGUGGCGGGCCUCCCCAACGUGGCCCCGCUGGCUGUGCUCCAUCUAUCGAGGCAAGAGGUAGCGAGGCAGAGGAGCUCAUCCAUAGAGAAGAAUACAACAAAGAGAAUAACAUGUGGGUCCCUGUUGUCAUUCUCUACUAGAAUAGAUUUUGGGGUGUGUUUUAGGUAGUACUACUGGAGAAAAUAAAAAAAAGGAGUAGUACCAAAAUAAGUGGCAACCCAAACUAAGUAGUAGGGGUCUAAUUUAGGUAAUACCACUGGAGAUGGUCUUAGUGUGUGUGCGUUGUGGCUUAUGUGUUGUACUAUAAAAAAAUAAAGUAUCAUCCUAUCAUUAAAUAUAUACCAUUGUAUUUCUCUACCAAAUUAUAUCCUAGUUGUCAAGGGCAUGUCAAUGUCCACUGCGCGUGUGGCCAAAAGCAGAUCGCGACAGGUUGCGACAUCUCAUUAUGAGUAAGAUGCAUAAUCGAGCAAGGCCUAUCAAGAUCCUGGUGACUAAAAUUUAGUCACCCCUUUUACUCCCCUUUUAGUCUCUAAAGACCCAAACACAAUGACUAAAGGGAUUAGUCUAUUAGUCCCUUGGGAUUGACCAAAGGGGACUAAACCAGCAAAAAGAAACCCCCCCCAUCAUUAAUGCACUGCACAACCAUGCGUGACUCCACCUCGUGUGUCACCGCCACACCAUCGCUGGAACCCACCACGCACCAACGCUAGACUCCACCGCUGCACCCAUGUUAGACUCCACCUCGUCCACCGCUGCUGCACCCAGGCCAAAACUCCACCUCAUACACCCCACGAGGUCACGCCAACAUGCCGACUAGACACACUUACCAUGGUCGGCCAUGCUCGCCCUAGCAGGAUCCGCCUUCACAUGCGCCUCCUCUUUCUGUCGCAUCUGCCAUGGUGCCACUGCCGUCCCUACCGCCCCACUAUAGCAUCCGCUCGGCUCCUCUCUUACCCCUUGCUCCACCUCGCGAACCCUACCAUAUCAAGACCUUGCCUAGCCGCUGCCACAACUAGCCUUGUGAGGGCGUGGCCCCCUGGCCUUCGGCACAACUAUCCUAGUUGGGGCGCUGCGAAGGAGAGGCAAAGGAGGAGGCGAAGGAGGAGCAUUAAAGGUGCUUUGGUCUUUGUAUAGUAGCUUUAGUGGGGGUAUUCAUCCAUCCAUCCAAACAUUGUUGAGACUAAAGGAUCCAAACAUGCUAGUAAACAAUUGAUUUCUUCAUCUAGCUCAAAACGGGGGCUAUAAUAUAAUAUAGAAGCCUAAAUAUAAUUUCUUUUUUCAAAUCUCAUUAGAGUAGUUCUAGUUAGAAUUACAUUCAACAAACACG
Molecule: long non-coding RNA, 1644 nt
Filed under: Sorghum bicolor (sorghum)
Lineage: Eukaryota; Viridiplantae; Streptophyta; Magnoliopsida; Poales; Poaceae
Description: long non-coding RNA (SBIC_LNC007669)
Source: RNAcentral